This 301-nucleotide ribosomal RNA is filed under the name uncultured bacterium. Its description in RNAcentral is "partial 16S ribosomal RNA". It matches the Rfam family "Bacterial small subunit ribosomal RNA", at positions 509 to 807 of the family's 1533-position model. The record is from RNAcentral.
CAGCAGCCGCGGGAAUACGAAGGGGGCUAGCGUUGCUCGGAACGACUGGGCGUAAAGGGCGCGUAGGCGGCGAUCAAAGUCAGGCGUGAAAUUCCUGGGCUCAACCUGGGGGCUGCGUUUGAUACUUGAUUGCUAGAGUGGGGAAGAGGGUCGUGGAAUUCCCAGUGUAGAGAUGAAAUUCGUAGAUAUUGGGAAGAACACCGGUGGCGAAGGCGGCGACCUGGUCCUUGACUGACGCUGAGGCGCGAAAGCGUGGGGAGCAAACAGGAUUAGAUACCCGCGUAGUCCCUGUCUCUUAUAC